Molecule: ribosomal RNA, 1082 nt
Filed under: Conoideocrella tenuis
Lineage: Eukaryota; Fungi; Ascomycota; Sordariomycetes; Hypocreales; Clavicipitaceae
Description: SSU rRNA
Rfam family: Eukaryotic small subunit ribosomal RNA
Source: RNAcentral
UCAUAUGCUUGUCUCAAAGAUUAAGCCAUGCAUGUCUAAGUAUAAGCAAUUAUACAGCGAAACUGCGAAUGGCUCAUUAUAUAAGUUAUCGUUUAUUUGAUAGUACCUUUCUACUUGGAUAACCGUGGUAAUUCUAGAGCUAAUACAUGCUAAAAAUCCCGACUUCGGAAGGGAUGUAUUUAUUAGAUUAAAAACCAAUGCCCUCUGGGCUCUCUGGUGAUUCAUAAUAACUUCUCGAAUCGCAUGGCCUUGCGCCGGCGAUGGUUCAUUCAAAUUUCUUCCCUAUCAACUUUCGAUGUUUGGGUAGUGGCCAAACAUGGUUGCAACGGGUAACGGAGGGUUAGGGCUCGACCCCGGAGAAGGAGCCUGAGAAACGGCUACUACAUCCAAGGAAGGCAGCAGGCGCGCAAAUUACCCAAUCCCGAUUCGGGGAGGUAGUGACAAUAAAUACUGAUACAGGGCUCUUUUGGGUCUUGUAAUUGGAAUGAGUACAAUUUAAAUCCCUUAACGAGGAACAAUUGGAGGGCAAGUCUGGUGCCAGCAGCCGCGGUAAUUCCAGCUCCAAUAGCGUAUAUUAAAGUUGUUGUGGUUAAAAAGCUCGUAGUUGAACCUUGGGCCUGGCUGGCCGGUCCGCCUCACCGCGUGUACUGGUCCGGCCGGGCCUUUCCCUCUGUGGAACCCCAUGCCCUUCACUGGGUGUGGCGGGGAAACAGGACUUUUACUUUGAAAAAAUUAGAGUGCUCCAGGCAGGCCUAUGCUCGAAUACAUUAGCAUGGAAUAAUGAAAUAGGACGUGCGGUUCUAUUUUGUUGGUUUCUAGGACCGCCGUAAUGAUUAAUAGGGACAGUCGGGGGCAUCAGUAUUCAAUUGUCAGAGGUGAAAUUCUUGGAUUUAUUGAAGACUAACUACUGCGAAAGCAUUUGCCAAGGAUGUUUUCAUUAAUCAGGAACGAAAGUUAGGGGAUCGAAGACGAUCAGAUACCGUCGUAGUCUUAACCAUAAACUAUGCCGACUAGGGAUCGGACGAUGUUAUUUUUUGACUCGUUCGGCACCUUACGAGAAAUCAAAGUGCUUGGGCUCCAGG